GACGAACGCUGGCGGCGUGCUUAACACAUGCAAGUCGAACGGAAAGGCCCUGCUUUUGUGGGGUGCUCGAGUGGCGAACGGGUGAGUAACACGUGAGUAACCUGCCCUUGACUUUGGGAUAACUUCAGGAAACUGGGGCUAAUACCGGAUAGGAGCUCCUGCUGCAUGGUGGGGGUUGGAAAGUUUCGGCGGUUGGGGAUGGACUCGCGGCUUAUCAGCUUGUUGGUGGGGUAGUGGCUUACCAAGGCUUUGACGGGUAGCCGGCCUGAGAGGGUGACCGGCCACAUUGGGACUGAGAUACGGCCAAGACUCCUACGGGAGGAAGCAGUGGGGAUUAUUGCAAAAGGGGCGGAAGCCUGAUGCAGCAACGCCGCGUGCGGGAUGACGGCCUUCGGGUGGUAAACCGCUUUCGCCUGUGACGAAGCGUGAGUGACGGUAAUGGGUAAAGAAGCACCGGCUAACUACGUG
RNAcentral lists this ribosomal RNA (468 nucleotides) under uncultured bacterium. RNAcentral's name for it is "partial 16S ribosomal RNA". It matches the Rfam family "Bacterial small subunit ribosomal RNA", at positions 28 to 507 of the family's 1533-position model. The record is from RNAcentral.